This 381-nucleotide ribosomal RNA is filed under the name uncultured Halobacteria archaeon. RNAcentral describes it as "bacterial SSU rRNA". It matches the Rfam family "Archaeal small subunit ribosomal RNA", at positions 471 to 851 of the family's 1478-position model. The record is from RNAcentral. Lineage: Archaea; Methanobacteriati; Methanobacteriota; Halobacteria.
UAACACCAGCGCCACGAGUGGCGGCCAUUGUUAUUUGGCCUAAAGCGUCCGUAGCUGGUUUUGUAAAUCUUUUGUGAAAUUGUCAAGCUCAACUUGACAGCGAGCAAGAGACACUGCAAGACUUGAGACCGGGAGGGGUAAGGAGUAUUUCUUGGGGACUGGUAAAAUGGGAUAAUCCAAGAAAGACUACCGGUGGCGAAGGCGCCUUACCAGAACGGUUCUGACAGUGAGGGACGAAGGCUAGGGGAGCGAACCGGAUUAGAUACCCGAGUAGUCCUAGCAGUAAACGCUGCGAGUUAGGUGUUGCACAAUUUAUAAGGUUGUGCAGUGUCGUAGAGAAGUCGUUAAACUCGCCGCCUGGGAAGUAUGGUCGCAAGACUG